CAGAAAUGACCUCGGACCUGGAAUUGCAAGUAAGAUGGUGCAGUCAUGGAAACCAUGAGAAGCCCCGGUACUUGGGAUUCAAAAGAGAGGAAAAUGGCAAACCUGUCCACUGUCUUUGCCAAGAAAAUCCUGUGGACAAUAUGGAAGACUUGGACACAGGACACAACUGAACAGAAAUAGUAAAGAUUAAGUCUUCACUUCUGUUAUGAGGGCUUGCUGAGCUUUUUUCAUCAGGUCUGCUCAUACAAUUGUCACCCAACUCUUACCUGUGGUUCCAAGAAGUUGUAACAAAUAUAACCGCCAUACCCCAGCAAAAUCAUCUUGGAAUAUGGACUGAAUAUGGCUGAGGUAACCAACCUGCCUCAAACCUAUUGGUGAGUUAAGGGUUGACUACCCCAAAACUGUAAAGACUCCCCCCAGUAGAUGAGAACAAUCUGUUCCAAAGGCCACAAAGAUGGCUGAAGCAGAUGUUGUGAGCACUUCACUUAAAGCUUGAUCAGGCAUUAAAGAUGUCAAGGAUAUCCACUGCUUUCUUUUGUAUUGCCAUAAUACUUUUAUGACGCUGGAAGGGAGAGAAAGGCUAAUGACUCUGUAUAACUGUGCUUCACUUAAAUCCAAUUCACACACAAGUCAAGACAUCAUCCAUGAUGUUAUUGGAUCUCUUCAAAAACAGAAGACAGUCUUCCAAGUCAUCCAGAAGCAUUAGCUCUUCAGUAUAACACAUGCAAUUUGACUUACCACAAAAUUAAUACAUAAUUGCUUUAAAGAUUGACAUUGUCUGGCAUUUUAAAUAAAUUCAUUUAUUAAAUGUAUUAACCAGAUUUUCAGCCCAGUCUGGGGCAUUUUGCACGUUAUAGUAUAUGUGGAAGAAGAUAUGACUCCAGAAGAUUGAAGAGAAAUUUGAAAAGUUGCAUAAGGGAUUUUACAAAGAUGGUAUCAAAGCUUCUUUGGGAGAAAGAUGAGGUGAGAAGCAGUAGACAUAUAGAGAAUCAUCUUUUUGUUUCUAACUUGCCUCCCUAGAGACUCCUGGAAUAGACUUCCUUAGCUAAGAUUGGGUUCUCUUGUUUUAAACGAGGUUUCAUAGCAGCUCCAGCUAAAGAAUUCAUUCACUCUUGUAUAUUUUCUGGGAUACACUAAUCUGUAAAACUUUUUCAAUUUCUCUUGGUUGCUUUGCUUGGAUAAGAGUUUACUUAAUAUUUAUUAUUGGCGAUGAGCUUGUGUGUAACCACCAUUUAGUGGGAAAGAACUAUUUCAAGGAAUACCUUUUCCAUUAAGAGUGAUCAGGAAUCUUCUUUCACAAUGUGACUUAUAUGGAAAUAUGUUUAACAUGAUUGUACACAUAAAAUCUUUUUUUAUUAAGACUUUUUAUUUUCAAAACAUAUGCAUGGAUAAUUUUCAACAUUCAUCCUUGUAUAACCUUGGCAUACAUAUAAUAUAAAAAAUGAAAUUUUAAAAAGA
This is a long non-coding RNA of Antechinus flavipes (yellow-footed antechinus), 1458 nucleotides long. RefSeq lists it as uncharacterized. The record is from RefSeq and is a predicted model, not a curated record. NCBI's taxonomy places the organism in Eukaryota, Metazoa, Chordata, Mammalia, Dasyuromorphia, Dasyuridae. The transcript has 3 exons.